RNAcentral lists this ribosomal RNA (253 nucleotides) under uncultured bacterium. RNAcentral describes it as "partial 16S ribosomal RNA". It matches the Rfam family "Bacterial small subunit ribosomal RNA", at positions 524 to 776 of the family's 1533-position model. The record is from RNAcentral.
UACGUAGGGGGCAAGCGUUGUCCGGAAUCAUUGGGCGUAAAGCGCGUGUAGGCGGCUUGGUAAGUCCGCUCUGAAAGCCCGGGGCUCAACCCCGGGAGGCGGGUGGAUACUGUCAAGCUCGAGUCCGGAAGAGGAGAGUGGAAUUCCCGGUGUAGCGGUGAAAUGCGCAGAUAUCGGGAAGAACACCCGUGGCGAAGGCGGCUCUCUGGGACGGUACUGACGCUGAGACGCGAAAGCGUGGGGAGCGAACAGG